CAGCUCUGCAGCAGGAAGUCAAGAUGAUUAGGAGAUGGGGUCUCAUUCUAGGGUUUGAGCUGUCUACUUGGAGGGAGGAACGCUGUGGCUUGGAUGAUCCCAAACAGUGGGGAAUCCGAAAGUCAAUUAUAUCUGGAUUUGAAGGAAUUACAUGAUUAUAUUUGCUGCAGGUCGGCCUUCCUAAUUAUGAUUAAUUAAGCUAAUGCUGGGCUCAGUUUGCCCUCCGAGGGCUACCAGGUGACGCCAGAUGUGGGAAUCGCUCCCCAGCUGACAGAGCCCAGUUGUGGUGGGUUUUCCAAGCAGCCUAGGACCCAAACUGCAGCUCCCUCUGUUGCUGGGGGAAAGGGGCCUGGCUGGCUCUUCUCUUCUCCUCUGCCAUGAAAUGGCUGCUUUAGCUGCCUCCAGGUGACCGGGCCAUCAGCCCAGUGCCCAAGGUGCCCAGUCUUGCAAGGUGCCAAGUCAGAUGUUCAGUUCUGGAGCUCAGGCCUCUGAACCACGAAAUUGCAUUUGCUAGCUGCAAAUGAACUGCUGUCCCACGGGGCCCUUCCUGAGCCCUGCAAGGAUAACAGCAGCACAGUUACCCACUUAGAAGCUCCCUUUGGAGGCAGGCACUCUGUGUACCUUAGCGGGUGCCUGCCCACGUGCGGCCUCUGCCGGGGAAGUGGCAUCUGAUUUCCUCGCGUCAGCUGUGCACCCGGCAUCUGGGGAGAGGAGGCAGCCGAGCACGGGAAACUUCCCAUGCUGUUCUCCUUGGCGGGCAGGGAAUAGAACUGGUCUGUCCAUAGACAUCACGGAGAGGUUGUCUGUUGGUGGGGGCUGGAGAGAUGCCCGAGGGCUCCCAAGGUGAUGUCUGGGCCAUCGGGGGUGGGAGGUGACCUGGCGUCACCUCCUGUCCGGUGGGAACGCUGGCUUCAGGCUGGAUUCUGGUUUACACCUUUCCUUUUGGUGAAUGCCAGGGCAUGUUCCAGAACAGCUGUUUGCAGGGCCUCACCUGGGGGCCACAGUGGUGUGUCCACAUGACCCCUGAGCUCCUCACUGUGCACUUCCGACUUUUCCAGAGAAAGGGAAGGAAACUGUCCAGCUCCUCCAGGCCUGCAGUCAAGGCAGAGAACAGUGUCUCCAAUGACUGCCAGAAGUCAGUGGCCAAAUGGUGAUGGUUCUGAGCAGUAAUGAAUUAACACAUUGCUCCAAUUUCUCU
RNAcentral lists this long non-coding RNA (1198 nucleotides) under Homo sapiens (human). RNAcentral's name for it is "HSALNT0000837". Lineage: Eukaryota; Metazoa; Chordata; Mammalia; Primates; Hominidae. The record is from RNAcentral.